GCAGUGGUAGUUCAGUGGUGAAAUUCUUGCCUUUCACGCAGGAGGCCCAAGUUUGAUUCCCAGCCAGUGCA
This 71-nucleotide transfer RNA is filed under the name Loxodonta africana (African savanna elephant). It matches the Rfam family "tRNA". From Rfam's summary of the family: Transfer RNA (tRNA) molecules are approximately 80 nucleotides in length. Lineage: Eukaryota; Metazoa; Chordata; Mammalia; Proboscidea; Elephantidae. The record is from Rfam by way of RNAcentral.